AUUGAACGCUGGCGGCAUGCCUUACACAUGCAAGUCGAACGGCAGCACGGGAGCAAUCCUGGUGGCGAGUGGCGAACGGGUGAGUAAUAUAUCGGAACGUGCCCGGUCGUGGGGAUAACGUAGCGAAAGCUACGCUAAUACCGCAUACGAUCUACGGAUGAAAGCGGGGGAUCGCAAGACCUCGCGCGAUUGGAGCGGCCGAUAUCAGAUUAGGUAGUUGGUGAGGUAAAGGCUCACCAAGCCGACGAUCUGUAGCUGGUCUGAGAGGACGACCAGCCACACUGGGACUGAGACACGGCCCAGACUCCUACGGGAGGCAGCAGUGGGGAAUAUUGGACAAUGGGCGAAAGCCUGAUCCAGCCAUGCCGCGUGUGUGAAGAAGGUCUUCGGAUUGUAAAGCACUUUAAGUUGGGAGGAAGGGCAGUAAGUUAAUACCUUGCUGUUUUGACGUUACCAACAGAAUAAGCACCGGCUAACUU
This 479-nucleotide ribosomal RNA is filed under the name uncultured bacterium. RNAcentral's name for it is "bacterial SSU rRNA". It matches the Rfam family "Bacterial small subunit ribosomal RNA", at positions 30 to 503 of the family's 1533-position model. The record is from RNAcentral.